Molecule: ribosomal RNA, 112 nt
Filed under: Acanthosepion pharaonis
Lineage: Eukaryota; Metazoa; Mollusca; Cephalopoda; Sepiida; Sepiidae
Source: RNAcentral
AUGGCUAUAUCAUGUUGAAACACUGGUUCUUAUAUGAUCACCAAAGUUAAGCAAUGCCGAAUCUGGUAAAUACCUAGAUGGGUGACUGAUUGGGAAUACCAGGUGCUGUAAG